CCUACGGGUGGCAGCAGUGGGGAAUAUUGCACAAUGGGGGAAACCCUGAUGCAGCAACGCCGCGUGAGUGAAGAAGAAUUUCGGUAUGUAAAGCUCUAUCAGCAGGGAAGAAGAAAGACGGAACCGGACGAAGAAGCCCCGGCUAACUACGUGCCAGCAGCCGCGGUAAUACGUAGGGGGCAAGCGUAAUCCGGAUUUACUGGGUGUCAAGGGAGCGGAGACGGCUGGGAAAGUCUGAAGGGAAAGCCCGGGGCUCAACCGCGGAACUGCUUUGGAAACUGUCUAGAUUGCGUACUGGAGAGGCAGGCGGAUUUCCUCGUGUAUCGGUGUAAUUCGUAGAUAUUAGGAGGCACACCAGUGGCGAAGGCGGCUUACUGGACUGUAACUGACGUUGAGGCUCGAAAGCGUGGGGAGCAAACAGGAUUCGAUACCCCAGUAGUC
This 441-nucleotide ribosomal RNA is filed under the name uncultured bacterium. Its description in RNAcentral is "partial 16S ribosomal RNA". It matches the Rfam family "Bacterial small subunit ribosomal RNA", at positions 338 to 795 of the family's 1533-position model. The record is from RNAcentral.